Molecule: transfer RNA, 75 nt
Filed under: Gemmobacter megaterium
Lineage: Bacteria; Pseudomonadati; Pseudomonadota; Alphaproteobacteria; Rhodobacterales; Paracoccaceae
Description: tRNA-Thr
Rfam family: tRNA
About the family: Transfer RNA (tRNA) molecules are approximately 80 nucleotides in length. Their secondary structure includes four short double-helical elements and three loops (D, anti-codon, and T loops).
Source: RNAcentral
GCCGGCAUAGCUCAGCGGUAGAGCGUCUGCCUUGUAAGCAGGGGGUCGGGGGUUCAAUUCCCUCUGCCGGCACCA